Molecule: transfer RNA, 57 nt
Filed under: Opsariichthys bidens
Lineage: Eukaryota; Metazoa; Chordata; Actinopteri; Cypriniformes; Xenocyprididae
Description: tRNA-Ala
Rfam family: tRNA
About the family: Transfer RNA (tRNA) molecules are approximately 80 nucleotides in length.
Source: RNAcentral
AUGUGGCUCAGUGGUAGAGCGCAUGCUUAGCAUGUAUGAGGUCCUGGGUUCAAUUCC